CAUUGUCCAGCAUACGUUUACCGACGUUCUUCAAUAUGGCACGAUUCAAUUCUACCUGUUGCAGUCAUGGAUGAAAUUCACAAAAACGUGGCUGGAGAAACUGGCAAUAUUGGAAUCAAAUAUGUGAAUAGGGGUAGUUUUUCAAUUUCCUUGACAUUCUCAUCUAUAACGGUAAUCUAUCAACCCUGGCGACUAAAAGGAACGGCUGAAGUAUGAUAUGGUACUAAUUAUGUAUUGAUACCCUGUUGUCAAUUCAACUAGUUAUAAAAUACUUUGCAAAUUGUAUGGUCUUGGUAUUUUUCAAGCGUGAUGUUCGUCAAGAUCAUUUGCAGGAUUUCAGUCUAAACUAAACCAGUGUUAUUCUACACAUCUACUGUUGUUGGUUGCAAGAUUAACAAAUUGAAGAAAAUCAUUUUGUAACAGUAGAAACUGCACCAAUAAAUCUUCUAUGUUUUCUUGUCUAGUUCGACUGCCACUUGUUCCGGAGUAGUUUAUUUCCUGAAUAGAUUGAUGCUACAGUGGAGAUUACUUAACCAUAUACAUAUGUAUGUAUGUAAAUAUGCUGAUGGAAUGACUAAUUGACUUUAUCUUAUCUUCUACGUUCAACACGGCGCUAUUCACCUUCUCGCUUAUGUCCGCACUCACAUACAAGCAUCACACAUGUAUUUGCAACAAAAAAUGCGGGUGUCUACCUCACUAUGCUCUUCUCAACACAGAUGUAGAAUGACAUUGACGAUGAGUUGACAAAUCAAUUUAUCAAGCGACUCGUGUCGUAAAGUGUGCCUGCUGAUGCGUAGAGCCAUCUCUGGAGACGAGUAUAAUAUUAGAUAUAUUAUUAGAUGCAUGGCAUACGAAAACUCUUUCAUUCUCAAAUGUCAAUGAAUAGUUAAUUGAUUUGUAAGUUUGAAAAUAGAAAAUCCAUCCCUAAGCAGACUUGUGAAGAAAUUAUAUUGAGAGGUUGAUAAUUGUCAUUGCAUAAUUUUUAUAGCAACAUGUAGAGAACGCACAGUGCCGAAGAAAUGAUUAUAAUGUUGCUGAUAAGUCUGUACAUUCUUAUG
Molecule: long non-coding RNA, 1058 nt
Organism: Bactrocera tryoni
Lineage: Eukaryota; Metazoa; Arthropoda; Insecta; Diptera; Tephritidae
Exons: 3
Source: RefSeq, a predicted model, not a curated record